Daphnia pulex (common water flea) is the source of this 1564-nucleotide long non-coding RNA. RefSeq lists it as uncharacterized. The transcript is spliced from 2 exons. The record is from RefSeq and is a predicted model, not a curated record. Lineage: Eukaryota; Metazoa; Arthropoda; Branchiopoda; Diplostraca; Daphniidae.
UUACUGCUCUCAGAGCUGCAAAUGAUGGAAUGGACUUCUUGUCGAUAUUUUUCAAUGAAUUGUUGAUUAUGACUGUUAUAUUGUGAAAUUUUUUUUGUUUCUAACCGAUUUUCUUUCAAAAAAUGACAGUUUUUGUCAACGGACGCCUCUUAUCUUCAACAGUGAACCUUGUCUUUGGGAGGUUUACCUGACGCUUUUUCCCGCUCUCUCCCUGUUCCAUCCCCCCCUGCGUGCUUUUGACGGUUAUUUUUUUCCGUCUCCACAAGCUUUCUUCUCUUCACCAUAUCCUGUCCCGAAUACCCUCUGCUGUGGCCGGUUUCCGGUUACUACAAGACUCUUGAGGAUAUUUCAAACCGUUAGUAAAUGAUAAAACAUAGCAGAAUAAAUGCGUGUAUUUUUAUUUGAAAACUGCUUAAAACCUUGGCAUUUUUUGACAUCCCAAAUCAUUGGAGCGAAGCUUUGUUCGAUUUGAUUUGCAUAAGCAUCGUCACAGCUGCAGUGGAGAUGCCUAUUGAUCAAUGGCCCCCCAGCUCCCUUUUGAGUGUGUCAAUCAAUUCGAUGGCGCAAAUAAGCCCAUUCUCACACGAGAACACGCCCCAUUUUUAUUCGUGGAAAUGUUCGAUAAUCGCGUAGUUAAAAAUGAUUCAUCAAGUUAAUCAACCCAAAUAUAAAGGAUUAAAAAUAGAAUUUCCUUGAGGUGAGAUGACAGGUGUGUAACAACUGUUAUAUACUACGUUUACGGUAGAGAGACCACAAGAUGCACAAGGUUGAAGGCGGGUCAAGGACGCACCUCUCCUCAACCCACUCACCUUCCUUAAAUUCCAGACUACCUUGUAUUAGUACACCCCCGCAUCAGGUAUAUAUACAUAAGCCCUUUUGUAUAAAUCAACUCGAGCCUAUUGAAAGAUGGAAGACGACCGGUGGCGAUCUAAAGGUAAAAAAUAAGAUAUCGAUCGGCGCUGGCUGGUGUCCCAAAUACAAUUAUUGAUCUGUCUCAUGAAUUUCAUUUUUCCAAGAAUUUGUUUUCUGUUAUAUAUUUGUUUUGAGAAUGUAUUUUUGUUUUUCCAUGUGUCACACUAUUUUCCAAAAACUGUUGAGAUAGAAAUGGCUAUUCACAUAAGAUAAUAGGUGUAUUUUGUAACUAUACGCUACGACAAGGGUGCGCCAUAUUCUUUCUUCAUCAUCAUCCGCUGACUACAUAUGUCGUCCCUUGUGGUAUUCGGAAUCCGCACCAAAUUUCUUCUUCAUAAACGAUUAGAAAGAAAGAGGUUUGAGUGAGGAGAGAGGAAAGGAGGAAAAGAAACAAUUUUGUUUUUCGCGGACAUAACCGAUACCUGGCAUACUCUAGUACGUACACAAAGGACAGCAUUCAUACACGACAUCAUCCGAACGUGGAAUUUCACUUUAAUCAUUAAUCAAAAAAACGGUUCCGUAACGUCUUUACUUCGAAUUUCGAGGGAUUCAGGGUGAGGGGGAAUUCGGGCAACUAGGUUAUUGUGUAAGAAGAUUCAAAAAAGGUGAUAACAAGAGCAAUCAAGUUUGAAGUCUUCAAAAGAAAAAGAAA